UACGGGGGGAGCAAGCGUUGUUCGGAUUUACUGGGCGUAAAGGGCGCGUAGGCGGCCAGCACAAGUCAGUUGUGAAAUCUCCGAGCUUAACUCGGAACGGUCAACUGAUACUGUGCGGCUAGAGUGCGGAAGGGGCAACUGGAAUUCUUGGUGUAGCGGUGAAAUGCGUAGAUAUCAAGAGGAACACCUGCGGCGAAGGCGGCUAUCUGGACAGAGUCUGACGCUGAGGCGCGAAAGCUAGGGGAGCAAACAGG
Molecule: ribosomal RNA, 254 nt
Filed under: uncultured bacterium
Lineage: Bacteria
Description: partial 16S ribosomal RNA
Rfam family: Bacterial small subunit ribosomal RNA
Source: RNAcentral